This 592-nucleotide long non-coding RNA is filed under the name Amphimedon queenslandica. Its description in RNAcentral is "uncharacterized LOC109585413". The record is from RNAcentral. Lineage: Eukaryota; Metazoa; Porifera; Demospongiae; Haplosclerida; Niphatidae.
AGUGUGUUACUAUUAAUAUUAAUGUGUGUUGGUAAUGUUUGUUACUAUUAAUAGAUGAUAGUUAUGGAAGUGACAAGAGGAAGAGCAGCAGUGAGUCCUUACCUUCUCCUCCUCCCAUUCCUCCUGAUCAACUGGAUACAUUUAGCCUUCUCUCUAAAAUAAUAAAACGUAACCACACUAGUUAGCAUAAUCAACAAUUUGCCGGUCAACUUCUAUGAAUGACACUCCAUUUACUUCUAAGAUUCAUUAAAACUCAUUCCAGUACCAGCAGAAUGGGAACUAGACCUUCAGGAACUGAUGAACCAGAAGUGACGUCACUUGGAUGGAGUGAGAGCCAGGCCAGUGAGGACUCAUCAUACUUGGGACACUCUUUUAAAAACUAUGGUUUCAUAUCGUCCAGUGAAAUAACAUCCCAUAUUCACAGUCUUAGAGAAUACCUACCUAAAGGUAUUACACUGAAUUACUGAUCCUAGGAGGAAGGGACAGAGUUUGACUGUUUCUUACACAUAAUGGUGAGAAAAGAAUCCUGGGACCACGCCUCCACUGAGACUGUAAUCCAGUGAUCGUUAGUAACCGGUAACGUAAUGUUCCA